This is a non-coding RNA of Arachis ipaensis, 1182 nucleotides long. The record is from RefSeq and is a predicted model, not a curated record. NCBI's taxonomy places the organism in Eukaryota, Viridiplantae, Streptophyta, Magnoliopsida, Fabales, Fabaceae.
UCCUUGAACUGUUUCAGGAAAAGUUUAGUGAUGUUGUAAACUAGAUCAAAGCAAAUUUGACCAAAGGGGAAAAUUUGUCUGCUGAUGUUGGUGCUUCUUUUGCUGGGAAAACAUUAUUCGAAUAGUACAGAUACUUGAUACAAGGUUUGAGGGAUAUGAUCAUUUAUUAUUUUGUUUGGUUAUGAUGUAAAUUGCUUAUUGGAAUGGUUUCUAAUUUUUUUCUUUAAUUUUUUGGUAAAGAAAUACUAAAUGGGGGGUUUAUUUAUUGUAUUAUUAUUUAUUAUUAUAGCAUCUCAAAAUGUUCCAAAAUAGUAAAUGCUAAAACUCUCACAAGUUUAUGCCAACUUAUUAUUUAUUAUUAUAAAAUUUGCUGUUAUUUAGUCUCAGUUUUUUUAAUGUUUGUCAUUUUCUUUUUGUUCUUUGCAAUCUUCUCUAAUUGUCUUAUUAUUUAUUAUUAUAAAAUUUGCCGUCAUUUAUUGCUUUAUUUGGAUCGAUAUUUCUCCCUUUUUUUUCUGUUGCUAGAGAUCUCUGUUCAGCUCAGUUUACUAUGAAAGAUGCUGCAACGAAGGAUAACUAGAUCAACAACAUGGCUUGGCAAAGGUCUGUAUUGUUGUGUCUGCACAGAGGAGAGAGAGUGAUGCUCGUCCCUCUUUUGAUCUAACUCCAGUACAAGAUUUGCCAACUGUAGUGAUGUAUUUCCUGUUUAUAUUGGAGAUGAUAGAACCGAUGAAGAUGCAUUCAAGAAAUUGGGAGACAGAGGGCAUGGUCUUGGAAUUCUUGUCUCGAAAUUUCUGGAAGACACUAAUGCUUCGUACUCUUUACAAGAACCUAAUGAGAAACUCAUCAUGUACAAAGCAGCGGCUGCAAUAACAGCAGCAGCAACGGCAGCUGUGGAAGGAUCAAAACAAGAACAAAAGAUGCUCUUCAACAACAGUCUCUAAAAUAAUGCAUCUUUAUUUGUUUUUGGAUUUCUUUAUGUAGAUUAGUUGAAUCUUCGGAGUUUUUGGGAACAAAGAGAGCUAUUUGCGGAUUGUGAUAUUGACAGAUGGUGAAUAUAAUAACUACUUCAAAUGUUCUGUUAGAUAUGGAAUCAUGAAGUCCUAGAUGAAGUUGUACACUCAGCUGAAGUGUGAUUUAGAUGUUGUAAAUUUUACUUUGCAAAGUGAUGACUUCACAGUGAAA